RNAcentral lists this long non-coding RNA (626 nucleotides) under Homo sapiens (human). RNAcentral describes it as "HSALNT0336923". The record is from RNAcentral. Lineage: Eukaryota; Metazoa; Chordata; Mammalia; Primates; Hominidae.
GACCUGAGACUCCCUGGGGUGAAGGGAAAUGCCACAGACAUCCAUGGUCUUGGAUGCUCAACAGAAGUGCUUGCCUUGGUGAUCCAAAAAAGGCAGGAUCCGGCCGGGGGCAAGGUGAUUAUUCUGUCUGAUGAGGAGAAUAAGAGCCAGUUUGUGGUAUUGACAGAAGAAUGAAAGUAAAGUCUUGAAAGAUGGGAAGAUCAGGAGCAGUCUGGAGUCAUGGUAUAUGAAUGAACUAGUGAGAGUGGGCACAAAGUCUGAAGAUCUUUGUAGUGCAGCUAAUGUCUAAGGGAGAAUAUACCUACCCUAGAAGAGACAUUAAACAACCAGUUCAACCAAUCUACAAAGGCCAAAAAUAUUUUCACAGGCCCCCAAAAGAUGAACUCCAAUCUGCUGCCCCUAAACGCAUUCUCCACUGUCUGGAAGAUGUGCAAAGGCAACGGCACAGCGUUCUCCAUCUCAAAUCCUUCAAAGUGCUGUCAGAAUAAAAGAAUCCCCACCAAAAGCCCCAGGGAAAUCUAUCUGUCUGUAUGGUAUGGUAAUGACUGAGGUUAUUCCAGAUAGGAUUCUGGGAGAAACUCAGCUAUUGAAAUCUAAUGAAUGGAACUGAGAAUUUCUUGUUAUAA